Molecule: long non-coding RNA, 1085 nt
Filed under: Trifolium pratense (red clover)
Lineage: Eukaryota; Viridiplantae; Streptophyta; Magnoliopsida; Fabales; Fabaceae
Description: long non-coding RNA (TPRA_LNC006902)
Source: RNAcentral
AAAUAUAGAGCAGAAAAGCAAUUGUUGUUAUAUUGAUAAUCCAAUAGAAUCAAGUGAUUCUAUGGCUGAAUUACACUAUAAGAUUGAAUGAUAAAAUACAUAAAAUAUAAAGAUAAGCUAGGUAAUUCGAGACACCAAUCUCCCAAGUAGAGUGACUACUAAAAUCAAUCCAUAAAAAACAAUGGCAGGGAACAUUCUUCUAUUUAAUCAAUCAGAUACAGAUCUAUUUUCUCUUCCCUCGCCGAAUAAGGAAACAUUCCUAUAAUGGUAUAAUUAGCUGUAUCCUUCUGCCCAAGUUUCCUUUUAUAAAAUCUGUCAUAACUAUCAAUACCUCCCCCUUCAAAAUUCUCCUUGUCCUCAAGGAGGAAUCCUGAGAACUCUUUGUGCACUUCAAUUACUGGCUCCCAUGAAUUCUGAAAGGUAUGUAGUCUCUUCCCUUUUACCAAAACCUCAACCUUCAUUUGUUCAUUCUUUCUAAUGUCCAAGGCCUCCUCAAGCUACUUAUCUAGUCGCCAAAUUUCAGGCAAACCUUCCGGCAGUGACUGAGAAUCUGCUAUAUGCCUAAUUAAGCAAAGCAUAUAUUGAAAGAGAANNNNNNNNNNNNNNNNNNNNNNNNNNNNNNNNNNNNNNGAAUUUGAGCACAAACUUAUCCUUCCAAAUUAUGAUUGAAGCUAGUGACCUUGGUACCUCCUUUAAAACCAUGACUUGGGCAUUGUUCAUUGAAGAUUUCAAUAUUGAACUGGAUAUUUUCAUAAAUUUCUAGAGAGAACUCUGAUUGCAAAAGUUGACCCAUUCUUGGAAUUCAAAGGUAGUGAUCAACAUGUCCCCUAACACUCCAAUUAUCUUUGAGAACUUAUAGUUUUCAUGCUUUGAGAUCCUUGAAAUANNNNNNNNNNNNNNNAAGGCCACUGAUCUAUUCUAUGCUCACUUCCAAAAAUUGGUUCCUUCCCAUCGCAACAUUGAAGGGAACAAUCAACAAUAUCUCUCCUUGUUGACUCAAUGGCAUCACUAAUCAUUUUUGACUCUCUGGUUGCUAAUUUAGUCUUUGAUUGAACAAAUUGCAGUUCAUAAGAGAGACUAAACAU